GUAGUCUCGCACAGAUGCAUAUCAAUAAGCGGAGGAAAAGAAACUAACAAGGAUUCCCUUAGUAACGGCGAGUGAAGCGGGAAGAGCUCAAAUUUGAAAUCUUGCAAGGUUUACCUUUCACGAAUUGUAGUUUAAAGAAGUGUCUUCUGUUACGAUUUGGUAAUAAGUUCUUUGGAAUAGGACAUCACAGAGGGUGAGAAUCCCGUCUAUGAUUGCGAUUUGUAGCUUUGUGAUACACUUUCAAAGAGUCGGGUUGUUUGGGAAUGCAGCCCAAAACGGGAGGUAAAUUUCUUCUAAGGCUAAAUAUUGGCGAGAGACCGAUAGCGAACAAGUACCGUGAGGGAAAGAUGAAAAGAACUUUGAAAAGAGAGUUAAAUAGUACGUGAAAUUGUCAAAAGGGAAGCGUUUGACACCAGUGUUGUUUUCUGAAAAUCAACCUCUGUUAGCUUUAUGCAUGUUUGUUUAGACCUAAUCAGCUAUCUUGCAUGUUCUAUUGUUUGCAGUGGUGCACUUUUCAGUUUACAGGUCAACAUCAGUUUUUUUUACCGUAAAAAAGUUAAAGAAAGGUAGCUCAUGGCUCCGGUCGUGAGUGUUAUAGUCUUUUUCCUAUGCGGUAGGAGAGACUGAGGUCUGCAGUGUAGGCUAUUUGGCUAGAUACUCAGGUGCUAUGUGAUACCAUUUCAUAAACAACUUGUUGAUUAUGUUUUGUCUAUUGCAUACUCGCUUGUACUAUCAUACCUACGCUUAGGAUGUUGAAGAUGUAGCACAUCAU
This 772-nucleotide ribosomal RNA is filed under the name uncultured Neocallimastigales. Its description in RNAcentral is "partial large subunit ribosomal RNA". It matches the Rfam family "Eukaryotic large subunit ribosomal RNA", at positions 24 to 635 of the family's 3401-position model. The record is from RNAcentral. Lineage: Eukaryota; Fungi; Neocallimastigomycota; Neocallimastigomycetes; Neocallimastigales.